CUGGUCUUUUGAAGCUUCACAAUGAUAUACAAACCUGUGGAUACGAGGAUGUUCAGGUGAUGUGGGAAAUGCUUAGGAAAACGGAAUCCGAGUUGAUGUCAAAGCGGAAGCAAAGACCGUUUUGGAGGAUUUUCGUAUGGCACAACCAUAGUGCUGCCUCAUCAAUCCCCAUAAGCCAAGCUUAACUAAGCGUCUCUGCUUCAUACUGCAAUAAUAAUCGCCUCAUUUAAUUAGUUCCUGCAACAAGACAUGGAUGCCAUCAGUAUUCACAAGCCUAUGGCUAACAGUUGAGAGCUUGAUAUGGUCCAAGAGCAAUUGCAAGUGUGUCCAUAUCUGAAUGAUACUACCUCCUACCAAUAUAUAAGAUCACUCACUAUUGUAAAGCAGGUGAAGGGAGAGUCUUAUAUAUGUAUACCCAGUCAACCUCUAUUCCCAGUAUAAAGAAUACUGUAACAAUGGUGAAGUCAUUUGUAAAUAUAUCAAUCAUGUUUUGCCAAUAUCCAAAAUAAAGUCGUAACUUUAGCGGCUCAAUUUUGUACUUGCAUCAAGCGUGGGUGAUUCUUUCCUUCCAAAACCCAAAUAUAGUAUCGACUGUUGUAAUUCAGUAUAUUAGCACGGU
RNAcentral lists this long non-coding RNA (619 nucleotides) under Panax ginseng (ginseng). Its description in RNAcentral is "long non-coding RNA (PGIN_LNC014567)". The record is from RNAcentral. Lineage: Eukaryota; Viridiplantae; Streptophyta; Magnoliopsida; Apiales; Araliaceae.